This 312-nucleotide unclassified non-coding RNA is filed under the name plant metagenome. Its description in RNAcentral is "partial contains 5.8S ribosomal RNA, internal transcribed spacer 2, and large subunit ribosomal RNA". The stretch from base 1 to 104 matches the Rfam family "5.8S ribosomal RNA", at positions 50 to 154 of the family's 154-position model. The record is from RNAcentral.
GAAAUGCGAUACGUAAUGUGAAUUGCAAAUUCAGUGAAUCAUCGAGUCUUUGAACGCACAUUGUGCCCCCUGGUAUUCCGGGGGGCAUGCCUGUCCGAGCGUCAUUUCUGCCCUCAAGCACGGCUUGUGUGUUGGGCCCCGUCCUCCGAUCCCGGGGGACGGGCCCGAAAGGCAGCGGCGGCACCGCGUCCGGUCCUCGAGCGUAUGGGGCUUUGUCACCCGCUCUGUAGGCCCGGCCGGCGCUUGCCGAUCAACCCAAAUUUUUAUCCAGGUUGACCUCGGAUCAGGUAGGGAUACCCGCUGAACUUAAGC